GAUGAACGCUAGCUACAGGCUUAACACAUGCAAGUCGAGGGGAAACGAUAUUGGAAGCUUGCUUCAGAUAGGCGUCGACAAGCGCACGGGUGAGUAACGCGUAUCCAACAUGCCCACACCUAGGGGAUAACAAUGCGAAAGUAAGACUAAUACCCAAUGAUAUCUCUAGAAGAACUCAGAAGGAGAUUAAAGAUUCAUCGGUGAUGGAUGGGGAUGCGUCUGAUUAGCUUGUUGGCGGGGUAACGGCCCACCAAGGCGACGAUCAGUAGGGGUUCUGAGAGGAAGGUCCCCCACAUUGGAACUGAGACACGGUCCAAACUCCUACGGGAGGCAGCAGUGAGGAAUAUUGGUCAAUGGGCGAGAGCCUGAACCAGCCAAGUAGCGUGCAGGAUGACGGCCCUAUGGGUUGUAAACUGCUUUUAUAAGGGAAUAAAGUGAGUCUCGUGAGACUUUUUGCAUGUACCUAAUGAAUAAGGACCGGCUAAUUCCGUGCCAGCAGCCGCGGUAA
RNAcentral lists this ribosomal RNA (508 nucleotides) under uncultured bacterium. RNAcentral's name for it is "partial 16S ribosomal RNA". It matches the Rfam family "Bacterial small subunit ribosomal RNA", at positions 28 to 523 of the family's 1533-position model. The record is from RNAcentral.